UACGAAGGGGGCUAGCGUUGCUCGGAAUCACUGGGCGUAAAGGGUGCGUAGGCGGGUCUUUAAGUCAGGGGUGAAAUCCUGGAGCUCAACUCCAGAACUGCCUUUGAUACUGAGGAGCUCGAGUCCGGGAGAGGUGAGUGGAACUGCGAGUGUAGAGGUGAAAUUCGUAGAUAUUCGCAAGAACACCAGUGGCGAAGGCGGCUCACUGGCCCGGUACUGACGCUGAGGUGCGAAAGCGUGGGGAGCAAACAGG
This 253-nucleotide ribosomal RNA is filed under the name uncultured bacterium. RNAcentral describes it as "partial 16S ribosomal RNA". It matches the Rfam family "Bacterial small subunit ribosomal RNA", at positions 524 to 776 of the family's 1533-position model. The record is from RNAcentral.